GGGUGAGAAUCCCGUAUGUGAUCGGUGCCGGCGCCCGUGUAAAGCGCUUUCGACGAGUCGAGUUGUUUGGGAAUGCAGCUCAAAAUGGGUGGUAAAUUUCAUCUAAAGCUAAAUAUUGGCCAGAGACCGAUAGCGCACAAGUAGAGUGAUCGAAAGAUGAAAAGCACUUUGGAAAGAGAGUUAAACAGUACGUGAAAUUGUUGAAAGGGAAGCGCUUGCAACCAGACUUGCGGGCGGUCGAUCAUCCGAGGUUCUCCCCGGUGCACUCGAUCGUUCUCAGGCCAGCAUCGGUUUCCGGGGUGGGAUAAAGACGGUGGGAAUGUGGCUCUUCGGAGUGUUAUAGCCCACCGUGCAAUGCCGCCACCGGGGACCGAGGACCGCGCUUCGGCUAGGAUGCUGGCGUAAUGGUUGUAAGCGAC
Molecule: ribosomal RNA, 419 nt
Filed under: Helotiales sp. OTU34 TS-2013
Lineage: Eukaryota; Fungi; Ascomycota; Leotiomycetes; Helotiales
Description: eukaryotic LSU rRNA
Rfam family: Eukaryotic large subunit ribosomal RNA
Source: RNAcentral